Molecule: non-coding RNA, 70 nt
Organism: Merluccius polli (Benguela hake)
Lineage: Eukaryota; Metazoa; Chordata; Actinopteri; Gadiformes; Merlucciidae
Source: the annotation of a GenBank genome assembly
GGAUAGUCUAGUUGGUUAGGGUGCUUAACUGCCAGCACCAAAAGGUUCUGGGUUCGAACCCCAGUGUCCA